GUAAGAGCAGCACAUGUACUAAAAUUGGAAGGAGGAGAGAAGAUUAGCCUGGCCCCUGCAUGAGAAUGGCAUGCAAAUUCCUGAAGUGUUCCAUAUUUGU
This 100-nucleotide small nuclear RNA is filed under the name Canis lupus familiaris (dog). The record is from RNAcentral. Lineage: Eukaryota; Metazoa; Chordata; Mammalia; Carnivora; Canidae.